This 208-nucleotide unclassified non-coding RNA is filed under the name uncultured fungus. RNAcentral's name for it is "partial contains 18S rRNA, ITS1, 5.8S rRNA, ITS2 and 28S rRNA". The record is from RNAcentral. Lineage: Eukaryota; Fungi.
AGGGAUCAUUACAGAGUUCUCGCCCCUCCGGGUAGAUCUCCCACCCACUGUGAUUGCUACCGUGUUUCUUUGGCGGGCCGCCGGGCCCAGCCCGUCCGCCGGCUCCGGCUGGCGCGCGCCCGCCAGAGGCUCUGCAAACUCUGAAUGUCAGUGUCGUCUGAGUACUAUACAAUAGUUAAAACUUUCAACAACGGAUCUCUUGGUUCUG